Bradysia coprophila is the source of this 306-nucleotide long non-coding RNA. RefSeq lists it as uncharacterized. Lineage: Eukaryota; Metazoa; Arthropoda; Insecta; Diptera; Sciaridae. The record is from RefSeq and is a predicted model, not a curated record.
ACAAAACUCACCGCAUUUGAAUCCAUCAAAGCUGCUGUCAUUACAAAGUUCAUAUAGAAAAUAUUUUGUCGGAAAUGUUAAAUUUUACAGCGUUAAGAUUUCCAAUUAUCUUUGGAUCAUUUCUGUUUAUAGCGGGCACAUCAUUCAUUUGCCGCGAUAAUUUAAUGCCGAAUCUGGACGAAGCGAAAAAAUCACUCAAUAAACAGGAUGAAAUCACAAGAGUCGAACUGGAAGGCUUCAUAAAAAAUAUGAGAUCGUAGCCACUUCUUUAGUAUUUCCCAAUAAAACUUCUUUAUGUAAAUGAAA